GUUUCCCCCCUUUUCUCUCUCAAUUUUUUUCGAUGAAUGCUAGAUCUGAGUUCGUGUUUUGCUCUACAAGAUAGAUCUUACCACUAUCAAGAUGGAUCUUGGCACAAGAAAAAAACUAUAAGAGUGUAAACAAAUCUAAAAAAAUGUGGGUUAUCUCCAUUUUUUGCUCUUGUUCUUCAUGUUCUUCGAGUUCUUAUGGUUUUGUUUGAUCUGAGUUUUUCUCUCUCGGUUCCUUUGAAUGGAUGAUCGAUUUAGGUUCCUUUUGACGAAUCUUUGCACGAAAAAACACAAAUUUCUGAAAGGUAGGUGAGCUCUCUUUUAGCCUCUUGAUCUUCGUGUUCUUCCCGUUCUUGUGGAUUUGAUUGUUCUGGAUUUUUAUGUUCUUCAUUAUGUUUAUUGUUAAAUUUUUCUAGGUUUUUUUAUGUCUGAUACAAGCGUUUUGUUCACGUCCCACCGGGACGAACACAUGCCAUGGCGGGACGUCUGUUUUCAUGCCCCCUACCGAUUUUUUUUUUAAAAAACCCGUAAAAAUGAUACAAGCGUUUUGUUCACGUCCCACCGGGAUGAACACAGGUCGUCGCGGUACAUUUGUUUGAUUGCCUCAUACGAAUGUUUUGUUCACGUCACCUAAAAGAAUGCAUAACGUGGUAAUUCAUUUGUUUUCACUUGUCGAUACGGACGUUGUGUUCACGACCCAUUGGGACAAACGUAGGCGUUGGUGGUAC
This 725-nucleotide long non-coding RNA is filed under the name Linum usitatissimum (flax). Its description in RNAcentral is "long non-coding RNA (LUSI_LNC005955)". Lineage: Eukaryota; Viridiplantae; Streptophyta; Magnoliopsida; Malpighiales; Linaceae. The record is from RNAcentral.